AAUUAGCUAUGCGACUCGUGAGAUAACUAUUCCUGGCGCCAUAGCAAUUCAAUUGGGAGCUGACACUGAUUUAGAUCGUGGUCUAUUUCAUUCGGUACCCACCUAUAUCAUAGGAGCCAAGGAUUGCCAAAUCCACGGUCGUGUGGCUAGAAA
Rhizobiales bacterium TMED28 is the source of this 153-nucleotide non-coding RNA. The record is from Rfam. NCBI's taxonomy places the organism in Bacteria, Pseudomonadati, Pseudomonadota, Alphaproteobacteria, Hyphomicrobiales.